Molecule: long non-coding RNA, 3721 nt
Filed under: Cyanistes caeruleus (blue tit)
Lineage: Eukaryota; Metazoa; Chordata; Aves; Passeriformes; Paridae
Description: lncRNA (ENSCCEG00000020233.1)
Source: RNAcentral
UUUUUUGGGGGGGUGGAAUCCAAAAUUCCAAAAAAUUGGAAUUCCAAGCGCCAACGAAUCCCGGCGGGGCUGUGAUUCCCGGCUCUCCGUUUCCAAUGGAAAAGCGGGAAUUCGGGAAGCGCGCGGGGGUGGUGGUGGGGGGAGCGGCGGUUUCCCGGGAGCCGUUCCCGGAGCGACGGGAAUCGCCUCUGGAAAAGCUGGAAAAGGGAGCAUGGGAUGGCUCCGCCGCCUCCUCAGCCAGCUCUCCUGUGAGGAUCCGCCGGGAAUGGGGUUCGGGAUUGGGGAUUCGGGGUUCCCGGGAUUGGGGAUUGGGGAUGGAAGCGCCGUUUUCCCCAGGAUUUCCUCCCCAAACUUGUGGGAAUGAGGUUGGGAAAGGGCCGGGGUGAGCGCGGCUCCUUCCCAACCGCCCCGAGAUUCCCAGCGGGAAUUUUCGGGGAUCCUCUCUCCCACACCCCACACACAGCCCGGGAGAUUCCCGGCCUGGCGGAUCCCCCCGGAUCCCCCCGGAUCCCCCCGGAUCCCUCCGGAUCCCGGAGCGUGGGAAUUGCGCAUCUCCUCCUGUGGGGGAGGCGCUGCCGGAGCUCGGGAAUUGCUGCCGGGGAUGGGAAUGAGAAUCCGGGGGGGGGAUCUGGGGAUCCGCUAUGGGAUCCACUCGGGGACCCCGGAAUCCGCUCAGGGAUCUGCUCCGGGAUCCGGGAUCUACUAUGGGAUCCACUACGGGAUCCGCCCAGGGAGCCGGGGAUCAGCUCAGGGGUCUGGAGAUCUGCUCAAGGAUCCACCCGGGGACCCAGGGAUCUGCUCCGGGACCCGGGGAUCCGCUCUGGGAUCUGGGGAUCCUCUCGGGGAUCAGCUCAGGGGUCUGGGGAUCUGCUCAAGGAUCCACCCGGGGACCCAGGGAUCUGCUCCGGGAUCCGGGGAUCCGCUACGGGAUCAGCUCCGGGACCAGGAAUGUCGGGAUCCUCGGCCUCUUCCUCUUCCCUUUUUUUCUGCCGCUUCCUCAAACGGGCUCUCCGUGAUCCCAACAUUCCCGGGAUCCUUCCCGGGAUCCUUUCCGGGAUCCUUCCCGGGAUCCAUCCCGAGGGAAAACUCGGCGGAACCAGCGGGAUUUUCCAUGGAAAAAUUUUCUUCGGGAAUUUUUUCUUCCCCCCUGCCGGUUAUCCCGGUUUUUCCGCCUUCCUGGGUGGAGGAACUGCCGGAUAUCCCACCCGGAAAAUUCCCGGAUUUCCGGGAAAAAGCCAAAAGGAUUCCGGCCCUUGGAAAAGCUGGAGGUUGGGAUUGGCUUCCGGCUGCCGGGAAUUCCCACCUGGAGCACCCCCGAGAUUCCCAAAUCCUUCCCGAUUCCAUUCCCGGGAUGUCCCUGGGACAUUCCCGCAUCCCCCGGGGCUUCCCCGAUCCCGACAUUCCCUGGACAUCCCCAUCCCGGUGAUCCGCAUCGCCCUUGGAAUCCCUGGAAUGCCCCAAGGGAUCCCAAACAUUCCCAAUUCCCUUCUCCGGGAAAAUUCCGGCAGAUCCCGGGUGAUUCCCGGCGCUCGGAAUUCCCGAAUUCCCGAACUUUCCACCUCCCCCCAGCCCGGGAGCUCAUCCCGCUUUUCCCAGCUGCCCGGAAUUUUGGGAAGCGGCUCCCGCUCCCAUUCCCGAGGCUUUUCCCGAGGCUGGGAUCGGAUCCCGGCUGGAUCCCGCGGGAUCCAGCCGAACUCCGGGACCCCCUCACCCAGCGCGGGGCUUCGGGAAUGCGGAUCCCAGGGAAUCCCUUGGAAAACUCCGGAGUCGGGCCCCAAAAAAAUCCCUCCCGGCAAAAAUCCCGGGAUUUCCCGGCGGGAAAAGUGGGAAGCACCAGGAAGGAGCCUUGGAUGGGGCUGGGAUGGCUCCGGAGGGAAGGAAGAGCUACAGGAAAAACGGGAUACAGGUGGAAAACGGGAUACAGGUGGAAAAUGGGAUACAGGUGAUGAUGGGAGCAGGGAAAAGUGGGAUUCAGGGAAAACGGGAAGCUGGGAAAAUGGGAUAAAGGGAAAACGGGAUACAGGUGGAAAACGGGAUACAGGGAAAACGGGAUACAGGGAAAACGGGAACAGGGAAAACGGGAUACAGGUGGAAAACGGGAUACAGGGAAAACGGGAAAAUGGGAUACAGGUGGAAAAUGGGAUGAAAGAGGAGAUGGGAAGCAGGGAAAAGUGGGAUUCAGGGAAAAUGGGAAGCUGGGAAAGCGGGAUACGUGGGAAAGCGGGGAGGAGAUGGGACACGGGGAGAGGUGGGAAAAUGGGAUACAGGGAAAAUGGGAAGCCGAGGAGAUGGGAAGAGCGGGAGAAUGGGAUAGAAGAGAGAUGGGAUUCAGGGAAAACGGGAAGCCGAGGAGAUGGGAAGCGUGGGAGAAUGGGAUACAGGGAAAACGGGAUACAGGGAAAACGGGAUACAGGGAAAAACGGGAAGCCGAGGAGAUGGGAAGUGUGGGAGAAUGGGAUAGAGGAGAGAUGGGAUUCAGGGAAAACGGGAGGAUGGGAUGGGAAAAUGGGAUGGGAUGGGAAAAUGGGAUGGGAUGGGAAAAUGGGAUGGGAAAAUGGGAUGGGAAAAUGGGAUGGGAUGGGAAAAUGGGAUGAAAGAGGAGAUGGUAUACAGGGGAAAACGGGAAGCCGAGGAGAUGGGAAGUGUGGGAAUAACGGGAUAGAGGAGAGAUGGGAUUCAGGGAAAAUGGGAUACAGGGAAAAUGGGAUACAGGGAAAAUAGGAUACAGGUGGAGCUGGGAAGCAGGGAGACAUGGGAAGAGCGGGAAAAUGGGAUACAGGGAAAAACGGGAUGCAGGGGAAGAUGGGAGACAUGGGAAAACGGGAUACAGGGGGAGAUGGGAAGUGUGGGAAAACGGGAUAGAGGAGAGAUGGGAUGCAGGGAAAAUGGGAUGAAAGAGGAGAUGGGAUGCAGGGAAAAACAGGAUACAGGGAAAAUGGGAUACAGGGAAAAUGUGAAGAACAAGAAAAUGGGAUACAGGCGGAGCAGGGAAAACGGGAUACAGGGGAGAAAGGAUACAGGGAAAACGGGAUACGGGGAAAAACGGGAAGCCGAGGAGAUGGGAAGUGUGGGAAUAACAGGAUAGAGGAGAGAUGGGAUGCAGGGAAAAUGGGAUUCAGGGAAAAUGGGAUACAGGGAAAAUAGGAUGCAGGUGGAGCUGGGAAGCAGGGAGACAUGGGAAGAGCAGGAAAAUGGGAUACAGGUGGAAAAUGGGAUGGAAGAGGAGAUGGGAGCAGGGAAAAGUGGGAUGCAGGGAAAAUGGGAUACAGGGAGAGAUGAGGAGCAGGGAAAAAUGGGAUUCAGGGAAAAUGGGAAGCUGGGAAAAGGGGGUACGUGGGAAAGCGGGAGGAGAUGGGAUACAGGGAGAGGUGGGGAACGGGAAAAUGGGAUUCAGGGAAAAACGGGAUGAAAGAGGAGAUGUGAAGCGCGGGAAAACGGGAUACAGGAAAAAUGGGAUACAGGGGAGACGGGAUGCAGGGAAAAACGGGAAGCCGAGGAGAUGGGAAGCGCGGGAAAACGGGAGAGAGGAGAGAUGGGCUGGAAUUCCCGGAGAAUCCCGGAGAUGGGAUCCGAGGAAAAACUGGCGCAGCCUGGGAUGGCGGGGUGGGAAUGGGAUCGAGGAUCGGCGGAUCCCACCCCAAACCAUCCCGGGAUUCCCAGCGCCCCGGGGUGGCGGGAUCCCUAUGGACGAUCCCUUGGGAAUCUCCCGUUCCCGGUUUAU